This 396-nucleotide ribosomal RNA is filed under the name uncultured bacterium. RNAcentral describes it as "bacterial SSU rRNA". It matches the Rfam family "Bacterial small subunit ribosomal RNA", at positions 362 to 772 of the family's 1533-position model. The record is from RNAcentral.
UAUUGGGCAAUGGGCGCAAGCCUGACCCAGCAACGCCGCGUGAAGGAAGAAGGCUCUCGGGUUGUAAACUUCUUUUGUCAGGGACGAAGCAAGUGACGGUACCUGACGAAUAAGCCACGNCCAACUACGUGCCAGCAGCCGCGGUAAUACGUAGGUGGCAAGCGUUAUCCGGAUUUACUGGGUGUAAAGGGCGUGUAGGCGGGAUGGUAAGUCAGAUGUGAAAACUAUGGGCUCAACCCAUAGCCUGCAUUUGAAACUGUACUUCUUGAGUACUGGAGAGGCAGGCGGAAUUCCGUGUGUAGCGGUGAAAUGCGUAGAUAUACGGAGGAACACCAGUGGCGAAGGCGGCCUGCUGGACAGCAACUGACGCUGAGGCGCGAAAGCGUGGGGAGCAAA